Molecule: non-coding RNA, 1084 nt
Organism: Biomphalaria pfeifferi
Lineage: Eukaryota; Metazoa; Mollusca; Gastropoda; Planorbidae
Source: the annotation of a GenBank genome assembly
UUAUCUGUCCAUUUGUUGUUUUUAUAAUAGUAUAACUAAGAAAUGAAAAAGAAUGUCAAUCAAAUUUUUAGAAAAAAAAAUAAUGCAAGUAUUACAAAAUUUAUUUUUAAAAAUAACAAAUUAGAUUGUCAGUUAUAUGAAAAAUCAAUAGCAUUUUUAUUUUUUAAACCCAAUGAUUUGAAUGAAAGACACAAUUUGUGUUGGUUUCAUAUGUACAAAUAUGUUAACACAUACUUAACAUUAGGUCAUCACAUUAGUGUCUACUCUGCACUAUCAAGUCUGUUGAACACAGAGAAGAAACAUUCAAAUGUCAACAUUUUCAGACUUCUCUCAUAACUUUGUUUCAAUAUUUUAUGAACAUUGACAGUGUGAUACUUUAACAGAACUUUUCACACCUCAAAUGUAUUUUUAAAAAAAUAUUAAAAACCAAUACAUUGAUACAAGUCAGCAAUAAAAUUUACCAAAAGCAUUUUACUCUCACAUUACCAUGGCUAACUACAUUGCAACUAGCCAUUCUAUAAGUAAAAUUCAGGGGUAUGAGUAUAUAAUAAAAUAUCAUAAAAUACAAAUGGCUAACAGUCUCCUUCUCUCAAGCAACUUGUACUACUCUAAGAGUAUCUUAUCAAUACAAACAAUGGGAAACAUUGUCUACAUCUUUGACUAACUACCUUUUUUGUUUUUUAUUCGAAACCUACAUGACUGAAGGUAAGUGCUGAAAUUAAGUCACAGUGAUAGUUGCAUAAAAUAGUAGCACUUGAGGACAAAAAUACAAACAACUAUAACAACAUGGAUUCUGAAAUGUCUAGCAGUGAAGCAGAUACCAAAUUAACCACAUAAAUAUUCGGAAUCCCUAAGACAAUCUUUCCAUUUACUGGUUUUAAUAAAGGCUGUCCCAUUAAUCCUCUAGCGACGAUAUUCUGUUUCAUUUUUUUCCCCCAACUUAAAGAAAUUAAAUGAAUCUUUUUGACAACUGUUUCAUAACAGUACUGUUAGCCAACUGUUUCAUUACUAAAACUAUUCAUAACAGUACUGUUAGCCAACUGUUUCGUUACUAAAACUAUUCAUAACAGUACUGUUAGCCAAC